GUCUUGGCUGUAAACGGUGCGCACUUGCCGCGAGCUAGGUUAUACUGGUUCGUGGCGAAGCUAACGCGUUAAGUGCGCCGCCUGGGGAAUACGGCCGCAAGGCUAAAACUCAAAGAAAUUGACGGGGGCCUGCACAAGCGGUGGAGUAUGUGGCUUAAUUCGAUGCAACGCGAAGAACCUUACCUAGCCUUGACAUCUUGACAGUAAUCUUUGGAAACAAAGGUGAGGUAGCAAUACCAAAUCAAGACAGGUGCUGCAUGGCUGUCGU
Molecule: ribosomal RNA, 268 nt
Filed under: uncultured bacterium
Lineage: Bacteria
Description: partial 16S ribosomal RNA
Rfam family: Bacterial small subunit ribosomal RNA
Source: RNAcentral